Molecule: small RNA, 1205 nt
Filed under: Arabidopsis thaliana (thale cress)
Lineage: Eukaryota; Viridiplantae; Streptophyta; Magnoliopsida; Brassicales; Brassicaceae
Description: ATSL160920
Source: RNAcentral
ACUAAAUAUAAAGCGAAUCUUAACGUCAUGACCCCGCGACCGAAUGUGUCAUUGACAUCUGACGGGCUGAAAUGAGCUUCCUAGUGAUCGAGUAUGUCAUUGAUCAAACUGGGCUUCAGGGGCUCCGUCUUGCGAUCGAGUGAGAUGCAGUGAAGUCAAGAUUGAAUGGUCCAGUGACCCUGUGAUCGAGUGCGAUCGAGUGGAUGUCAUGAGGUGGUGAUCGAGUGGUUUCUUCGGCUUCUCUUCUCUUCUUUGUUCUCAGCUUGUCUGGUUGAGUGCAGAAUGAGCAGAUAGGCUUCCUGGUGAUCGAGUGGUGAUCGAGUGGUUCCGAUGGGGUGAUUCCUCCGGCUUCGCGAUUGAGUGAAACUUAGGUGCUUGCUUCUCCGGGGUUGCGAUAGAGUGAUUUGCCCUGGCAGGGCUCCGAGGCUGCGAUAGAGUACUUUUGCUGAAGGCGUCAUUGGGCAUUCUGGCUUCAUGUUCUGUUUUUCCUCUGUUUGAACUCCAAAAGCAUCCAAAGUACCUGAAAACAACCAAAUAUGCCAUGCACAUGCAAUCGUCCUAAGUAUGUAAAACACACUAAAACGACUCCUAAUGAGAUGAAAUGUGGAUGAAACAAUGACAAAGUGGUGAAGAAUGAAUGCCUAAAUCAUGCAAAUUAUAGACAUAUCAAGUCCCUCGAACUUAGUCUUUCCUUGCCCUCAAGCAAACAAGAAGACAUAAGCGGAAAGAGAGGUUUGAAGUUGGGGAUUCAGAACCAAAGCAUGAGAUAUGACAAUUAAGAUCAAUGUACCAGCUAUCAGUUCUAAGAUGCGAGGUGAUCGACUUCUACUCAAAAACUUUAGUCAUGCUCUGUUAUGAUCUAAACCUACACUGAAAUGCACAAUGCGUCAAGAUCAACCAAUCCCUUUAACAUUCAUUAAGUUCAAAAACAUGAAUCAAGAUAUGCAUCGCUAGUGAACUCAUUUGGCUAAUGACAGGUUAUGAGACAAAGAUGGUCCCUUUUUAGUGGUUCAGAUUUUAAUAGCAGGGAACUCUCAAUGAAAAAGGACUGAGCUUUAGAAGAAUGCUAAAGGUAAGUGCCAACCUAUGCAUACAAGAAUAGCACCCCAUCUACCCAAUGACAUAAACCGUGAAUAACAAGUAGAUGGUCCUAUCUCUAAACCCAAUGAUGAUCUUAAGUCUACCCUUUUGCACUAAAGGCAUGU